Molecule: RNA transcript, 1597 nt
Organism: Zalophus californianus (California sea lion)
Lineage: Eukaryota; Metazoa; Chordata; Mammalia; Carnivora; Otariidae
Gene: MPV17
Gene name: mitochondrial inner membrane protein MPV17
Exons: 7
Source: RefSeq, a predicted model, not a curated record
CCCAGGUCCGGUCACGUGGGAGGGGCAGGACGCGAACACAGGAAUCAUGGCACUCUGGCGGGCAUACCAGCGAGCCCUGACCGUUCACCCGUGGAAAGUACAGGUCCUGACAGCUGGGUCCCUGAUGGGCCUGGGUGACACUAUCUCACAGCAGCUGGUGGAGAAGCGAGGUCUGCGGGGGCACCAGGCUGGCCGGACCCUGAUCAUGGUCUCCCUGGGCUGUGGCUUUGUGGGCCCUGUAGUAGGAGGCUGGUACAGGGUUUUGGACCGCCUCAUCCCCGGUACCACCAAGGUAGAUGCACUAAAGAAGAUGCUGUUGGAUCAGGGGGGCUUCGCCCCAUGUUUUCUGGGCUGUUUCCUCCCACUGGUAGGAGCACUCAAUGGCCUGUCAGCCCAAGACAACUGGGCCAAGCUACGGCGGGACUAUCCUGACGCCCUUGUCACCAACUACUACGUAAGCGCUGACGCCGCAGCUGCCUGUUCUCCUGUUUUCCUGAGUCUGGAAGUGCCCAGGGACGGGGGUCCUCCUCCUGCCAGAGAAACCCCUCAGUUGGGGUGACUCUCUCGUCCCCGGUGUGGGCACCAUACUGAGGGAAGCACUCACCCAGUCGUUCUCCUUGUUCUUGGCUGCAGAAGCUGGAGGAAGACCAGCGAGUCUGGAGGUUGGCUGUUGUCCAGUGUGUCGCGGUCAUCUGGAACUCCUACCUGUCGUGGAAGGCCCACCGGCUCUAGGCCGGCCUCACCCCGGUGUCUGCGCGGGCAGUGCUGCAGCUUGACCCCAGCGCGGUCGCAUGGCCUCCCUGAAGUGGGCACAUCGCUUUUCCUGGGGUUCCGUGGCCACUCAGAACUUAAUGGGCUGAGCACCUGACUCCUUGUGAAUUCAUUACAACCUUUAUAAUGGUCUCAUCCCACCACAUGGUAGGCACUCCAUAAAUACGUAUGGUCUCAUCCACUGUAGCUCACACCCGUAUCCCAGAGCGCCCUCGCCCCCACUCUUCACAGGUACAUCUGCUCUCUAACCUUCCCAGCCCAGCUGGAGCUCUGGCUCUUUGGGGGCCCCAAAGCCUUAUAUGGUGCCUCUGCAGAUCGGUUAUGUAUGUAUGUAGUCUGAAACCUGCUGAGGUGAUGUGGAGGGCCCAGCAGAAACCUGUGGGGCAGUCAGAAUUUCUAGAGCCGGAAAGAAGUCUAGAGACAACCAGUCCUGAUCUUCCUCUACGGAUGAGCACACUGGAGUCCACACAAGUGAGGUGACCUGUCCACACCACCGACCAGUGGCAGAGUGGAAACUGGAACCCACAUGCUAUAGAUAAAUGUUGGUGUCCCCACCAGAAUUCAUCUGUUGAAAACCUAAUGCCCACGGUGAUGGCAUUAGGCGGUGGGGGCCUUCGGAGAUGAUUAGGUCAUGAGGGAUUCGUGCCCUUUUAAAACAGCCUCAGACAGAUCCCUCACCCCUCCCACCAUGUGGGGACACAACGAGAAGGUGCUGUCUAUGAAAGUUAGUGAGUGGCUUCUCACCCAGUACAUCUACCAGCGCCAUGGGCUUGGACCUCCCGGCUUCUAGAACUGUGAGAAAUAAAUAUUUGCUGUUUAUAAGAUA